CCUACGGGGGGCAGCAGUGGGGAAUAUUGCACAAUGGGCGCAAGCCUGAUGCAGCCAUGCCGCGUGUGUGAAGAAGGCCUUCGGGUUGUAAAGCACUUUCAGCGGGGAGGAAGGCGUUAAGGUUAAUAACCUUGUCGAUUGACGUUACCCGCAGAAGAAGCACCGGCUAACUCCGUGCCAGCAGCCGCGGUAAUACGGAGGGUGCAAGCGUUAAUCGGAAUUACUGGGCGUAAAGCGCACGCAGGCGGUCUGUCAAGUCGGAUGUGAAAUCCCCGGGCUCAACCUGGGAACUGCAUUCGAAACUGGCAGGCUAGAGUCUUGUAGAGGGGGGUAGAAUUCCAGGUGUAGCGGUGAAAUGCGUAGAGAUCUAGAGGAAUACCGGUGGCGAAGGCGGCCCCCUGGACAAAGACUGACGCUCAGGUGCGAAAGCGUGGGGAGCAAACAGGAUUAGAUACCCGUGUAGUC
RNAcentral lists this ribosomal RNA (465 nucleotides) under uncultured Klebsiella sp. RNAcentral's name for it is "bacterial SSU rRNA". It matches the Rfam family "Bacterial small subunit ribosomal RNA", at positions 338 to 795 of the family's 1533-position model. The record is from RNAcentral. Lineage: Bacteria; Pseudomonadati; Pseudomonadota; Gammaproteobacteria; Enterobacterales; Enterobacteriaceae.